Molecule: transfer RNA, 71 nt
Filed under: Thorius n. sp. RLM-2004
Lineage: Eukaryota; Metazoa; Chordata; Amphibia; Caudata; Plethodontidae
Description: tRNA-Leu
Rfam family: tRNA
About the family: Transfer RNA (tRNA) molecules are approximately 80 nucleotides in length. Their secondary structure includes four short double-helical elements and three loops (D, anti-codon, and T loops).
Source: RNAcentral
ACUUUUAAAGGAUAAUAGUAAUCCGCUGGUCUUAGGAACCAACAAUCUCAGUGCAACUCUAAGUAAAAGUU